UGCAUGGCCGUCGUCAGUUCGUACUGUGAAGCAUCCUGUUAAGUCAGGCAACGAGCGAGACCCACGCCAACAGUUGCCAGCUCGUCCUCCGGGAUGGUGGGGGACACUGUUGGGACCGCUCUGCUAAAGAGGAGGAAGGGAAUGGGCAACGGUAGGUCAGCAUGCCCCGAAUUAUCUGGGCUACACGCGGGCUACAAUGGGUGGGACAAUGGGUAUCGACACCGAAAGGUGAAGGCAAUCUCCUAAACCCAUCCGUAGUUCGGAUUGUGGGCUGCAACUCGCCCACAUGAAGCUGGAAUCUGUAGUAAUCGUGUCUCAAAAUGGCACGGUGAAUAUGUCCCUGCUCCUU
This 349-nucleotide ribosomal RNA is filed under the name uncultured Methanomicrobiales archaeon. RNAcentral's name for it is "bacterial SSU rRNA". It matches the Rfam family "Archaeal small subunit ribosomal RNA", at positions 991 to 1338 of the family's 1478-position model. Lineage: Archaea; Methanobacteriati; Methanobacteriota; Methanomicrobia; Methanomicrobiales. The record is from RNAcentral.